GAUGAAGGAGGGAGGCGUGCCUAAUACAUGCAAGUCGAGCGAACAGACGAGGAGCUUGCUCCUCUGACGUUAGCGGCGGACGGGUGAGUAACACGUGGAUAACCUACCUAUAAGACUGGGAUAACUUCGGGAAACCGGAGCUAAUACCGGAUAAUAUAUUGAACCGCAUGGUUCAAUAGUGAAAGACGGUUUUGCUGUCACUUAUAGAUGGAUCCGCGCCGCAUUAGCUAGUUGGUAAGGUAACGGCUUACCAAGGCAACGAUGCGUAGCCGACCUGAGAGGGGAAUCGCCCACACAGAACCGGAAAAACGUUCCGGACUCCUACGGAAGGCAGCGUAGGGGAAGCUUCCACAAGGGGCGAAGGCUGGACGAGGCAACGCCGCGGGGUGGAUAAAGUUCUUCGGAUCGUAAAACUCUGUUAUUGGGGAAGAACAAAGGUGUAAGUAACUAGGCACUUCUGGAGGUACCUAAUCAGAAAGCCACGGCUAACUACGUG
Molecule: ribosomal RNA, 496 nt
Filed under: uncultured bacterium
Lineage: Bacteria
Description: partial 16S ribosomal RNA
Rfam family: Bacterial small subunit ribosomal RNA
Source: RNAcentral